CGACUGGCGACCGGCGCACGGUGAGUAACACGUAUCCAACCUGCCUCAUACUCGGGGAUAGCCUUUCGAAAGAAAGAUUAAUACCCGAUGGUAUAAUCAGACCGCAUGGUUUGAUUAUUAAAGAAUUUCGGUUAUCGAUGGGGAUGCGUUCCAUUAGGCAGUUGGUGAGGUAACGGCUCACCAAACCUUCGAUGGAUAGGGGUUCUGAGAGGAAGGUCCCCCACAUUGGAACUGAGACACGGUCCAA
This 247-nucleotide ribosomal RNA is filed under the name uncultured bacterium. Its description in RNAcentral is "partial 16S ribosomal RNA". It matches the Rfam family "Bacterial small subunit ribosomal RNA", at positions 85 to 334 of the family's 1533-position model. The record is from RNAcentral.